This 444-nucleotide ribosomal RNA is filed under the name uncultured bacterium. RNAcentral's name for it is "bacterial SSU rRNA". It matches the Rfam family "Bacterial small subunit ribosomal RNA", at positions 355 to 796 of the family's 1533-position model. The record is from RNAcentral.
GUAGGAAUAUUGGACAAUGGACGCAAGUCUGAUCCAGCCAUGCCGCGUGAAGGAUUAAGGUCCUCUGGAUUGUAAACUUCUUUUAUAAGGGACGAAAAAAGGCUUUUCUAAGUCGUCUGACGGUACCUUAUGAAUAAGCACCGGCUAACUCCGUGCCAGCAGCCGCGGUAAUACGGAGGGUGCAAGCGUUAUCCGGAUUCACUGGGUUUAAAGGGUGCGUAGGCGGGCAGGUAAGUCAGUGGUGAAAUCCUAGAGCUUAACUCUAGAACUGCCAUUGAUACUAUCUGUCUUGAAUAUUGUGGAGGUAAGCGGAAUAUGUCAUGUAGCGGUGAAAUGCUUAGAUAUGACAUAGAACACCUAUUGCGAAGGCAGCUUACUACGCAUAUAUUGACGCUGAGGCACGAAAGCGUGGGGAUCAAACAGGAUUAGAAACCCCGGUAGUCC